RNAcentral lists this ribosomal RNA (506 nucleotides) under Sarcocystis sp. RNAcentral describes it as "SSU rRNA". It matches the Rfam family "Eukaryotic small subunit ribosomal RNA", at positions 309 to 808 of the family's 1831-position model. Lineage: Eukaryota; Apicomplexa; Conoidasida; Eucoccidiorida; Sarcocystidae. The record is from RNAcentral.
GACCUAUCAGCUUUCGACGGUAGUGUAUUGGACUACCGUGGCAGUGACGGGUAACGGGGAAUUAGGGUUCGAUUCCGGAGAGGGAGCCUGAGAAACGGCUGCCACAUCUAAGGAAGGCAGCAGGCGCGCAAAUUACCCAAUCCUGACUCAGGGAGGUAGUGACAAGAAAUAACAACACUGGAAAUUUUAUUUCUAGUGAUUGGAAUGAUGGGAAUCUAAACCCCUUUCAGAGUAACAAUUGGAGGGCAAGUCUGGUGCCAGCAGCCGCGGUAGUUCCAGCUCCAAUAGCGUAUAUUAAAGUUGUUGCAGUUAAAAAGCUUGUAGUUGGAUAUCUGCUGGAAGCAAUCAGUCCGCCUUAUUUAGGGUGUGCACUUGAUGAAUUCUGGCAUCUAUUAUUCCUAAUAUUAUACUGAUGACUUUCAGUAGUCAUCAGUGUUGGGAAUAAUACAGUUACUUUGAGAAAAUUAGAGUGUUUGAAGCAGGCUUAUUGCCUUGAAUACUGCAGC